UGUCUCCAUAGCUCAGCUGGAUAGAGCACGGGCCUUCUAAGCUCGCGGUCGUAGGUUCGAAUCCUACUGGGGACGU
Molecule: transfer RNA, 76 nt
Filed under: Lysinibacillus alkalisoli
Lineage: Bacteria; Bacillati; Bacillota; Bacilli; Caryophanales; Bacillaceae
Description: tRNA-Arg
Rfam family: tRNA
About the family: Transfer RNA (tRNA) molecules are approximately 80 nucleotides in length. Their secondary structure includes four short double-helical elements and three loops (D, anti-codon, and T loops). Further hydrogen bonds mediate the characteristic L-shaped molecular structure. tRNAs have two regions of fundamental functional importance: the anti-codon, which is responsible for specific mRNA codon recognition, and the 3' end, to which the tRNAs corresponding amino acid is attached (by aminoacyl-tRNA synthetases). tRNAs cope with the degeneracy of the genetic code in two manners: having more than one tRNA (with a specific anti-codon) for a particular amino acid; and 'wobble' base-pairing, i.e. permitting non-standard base-pairing at the 3rd anti-codon position.
Source: RNAcentral